Molecule: small nuclear RNA, 328 nt
Filed under: Erinaceus europaeus (western European hedgehog)
Lineage: Eukaryota; Metazoa; Chordata; Mammalia; Eulipotyphla; Erinaceidae
Description: 7SK RNA (ENSEEUG00000020419.1)
Rfam family: 7SK RNA (bases 1-291)
About the family: 7SK was discovered as an abundant small nuclear RNA in the mid-70s but a possible function has only recently been suggested. Two independent studies have found that 7SK RNA binds the CDK9/cyclin T complex (known as elongation factor P-TEFb).
Source: RNAcentral
GGGAGUGAGGGCGAACUGGCUGCGACAUCUGUCACCCCCAUUGAUCGCCAGGGUUGAUUCGGCUGAUCUGGUUGGCUAGGGCACAUGUCCCCUUCCUCCCUCACUUCUCCAUGUGCAUCCCUCCGGAAGCUGCGCGCUCUGUCAAAGAGGACCGCCUUCCCCGAAUAGAAACGGACUGGUCUUCAGUCGAGGGUAUACACUUAGCUGUGCUUCCCUGCUAGAACCUCCAAACAAGAUCUCAAAGAAAUAACAGAAAAAUUUCCAACUCUGGGAUGUGGUCAGGAUAUAGAUUAGAUAUUCAGGAAGCAAAGAGAACUCCCAAAUUUUU